CUCAUCUGCAAAGAAGUAAGUG
RNAcentral lists this microRNA (22 nucleotides) under Homo sapiens (human). RNAcentral describes it as "hsa-miR-452-3p". Its record names the gene hsa-miR-452-3p. The record is from miRBase by way of RNAcentral. Lineage: Eukaryota; Metazoa; Chordata; Mammalia; Primates; Hominidae.